AUGUCUCUUACAGAACAUGGCAAUAGCUGUACUGGAUGAAAAAGCUGACUGCCUCUGGAAACAGCUGAGAAAAGACUGGAAGCCCAAGGCAGAGACAGCAGCAAAUUCUGGUGUUUUCCCAACACUUUUUCCCAGUUCUCAGUAAUCAGAAGACCUGGAACUUUCUGAGCUUUCCCAGGAGUGGUGUGGUGAGCUUACAGGCUGCUGGAGUUGUUGCAAAAGCCCCGAUUCACCAAAGUGGUGAUCCCCACAGAAUUUCUGAAGGCAGUACAGGGAGCGAUGGCCCUUCAUGAAGGAGGAAUGAUCUUCUAUGAUGGCACAGCCUGCCUGUGUGUCGCCUUUCAAGUGAUUUCCCUUGCUGCUUUCGCUAACACGACUUUAUCCCUGCCGGAGAGGCUGUUGAGCACUGAUGGGGAGAGGUGAAGGCCUGCACCAGCCCUCGCCCGGAGCUGGGCCCAGCCAUUGGAGCAAGGUUGUAAAAGCAGAAAAAUGAGCGUGCAUUGCACUUAGGCUGCAGUCAUUCUGCCUAAACUGGGGAACAUUCUGCAAAUAUUUCAAGUCAAAUACUGCUGGUGCUGUCACUGCUGCCUCGCAGUCACUGGGCUACAGCAGCCAUAGGUUUGCCUCGGUGACUCCAGCUGGGCAGCCUCCCAUUUGGACAAGCAAGACUACCAAAAGACUGCAAAUUGGCCCUGUGAAUAUGCUAAUGGCCACGUACAGGAGUGGGGAGCUCUGCCUGGCUGCCUCCUGGCUGCAGAAGCAUUGCAAAUCUGCUCGCAAUACAACCAUCUUCUGAUCAAGUACACAGCAGAUGUGCCACAAUCUACAAGGGCAUGGAUGGCUGGAUGGAUGGAUGGGCAGUGGCUGUACUGCCAGCCUUCUCCCAGAACAUUCUGUUUUUCUCUUGGUUCUCACACAGCCCUGUGGCAGUCACAGCUUCCAAACAGGACCAUGGGCAUUCCUUGCUCUCCUGAAGGACUUAUCUCAUGCAGGUAUUCAGAACUUCACUGGUAAUCACUCUGACUUAACCUUAGUAAUUUCAGAGACACCUGUACGUGGUGGUAAUAAAGUGUCCUAUGUUUCUCCCUAACACAGAAUUCUCCAUGUGGGAGGGUCAUUUCUCUUGCUAUGAACAGGAGCAUCUGGCCCUCUGGCCAUUGUCUUCAUCAGGCCCACAGCUCAGAAGAAGAAUUUUCUCCAUAUCGGUUACUAGGACCAGCUGCUCCAGAAAUAAGAUUAUAGAUCAUAUGGAGCACAGUGGCAUCAGCUCUCUCCCAUCUCAGAAAGCUAAAAAUCCCAUCUGAUCUUGACUGCUCUGAAUCAAUAGGGGCAAAGAGGUGUAUAUUUCAGGCAGGAAAGCUCCAAAGCAAAUCUAUGCAAGUCUCUAAGGGCUACUAUUACUUGAAUGAUAACCAAAAGGAAAUAGGCAAAGGAAAAGGAAAUGCAACAGGGCUCAGAGAGGGUUUGCAUGUAUUUGUUUCAUAGACUCACCUGCAUGGCAAGUGCUUUGCACCAUCUAUCGCACUGCUCUCCUAUACAUCCAUUUUUCAUUAUAGAGUUGCCAUUUCUAAACAUGUAAAACUAGAAUGUGCUGGCAUGGUUUAAAUGGUGCUACGAGCACUGCAGAGAGGCACAGCGAUAGCUGUGUGGGAAAUGAGAGAAGAGAGGAAUUCUCCUGAGCAAAGAGCAAUAUCAAGCAAAUGCUGAACUGACAACCUCUGCUGCUGAGACCAAAAUGCUCUGGCAAAAAGCCACCAGCACGUAUAUCCAUACAGCAGUGAACAGCCCCUCAGCGGAGAGCGCGUCGGGAAUGCAUUCAGCACAUAAAGCAUCAGCUGUGUGAAAAACUGCAGACAAGAUAAUCCUGCUGUUUCAUCUAUUGUGGAAAGUUAGGUUUGGAUUUGAAGGGCAACUUUCCAGAGCUUUUCAACUUGUGAGUUCAAAGGCAAAUGGGCGUACACUGGUGCUGUCUCACACCUCUCUCAGGUCAAGGAUUCAAGACAACUGAGAGGGAAGUCUCCAGGGCUGGGUUUCUGAAUAUGCUGUUUUCUCUCCACUGCAGUGUGGUGCAAUGUUCAAUGCUACCAAGACACCAACAUUUCAACAUGGCUCUGCUCCGUGCCUGGUAUGCCCUGUGAGCUCCCAUUUGGUCUUGGCAUUAAUUGUAUGGCCCUCGUGGUGGUUUGGGGAAAAUCUCUUUAUCAGUGCCCUGAUGGAAUAAAGAUCGUGUGUAGCCUGAAGAAAAGAAAGUAAGGAAAAAAAAUGGGUUAGAGGUGACACUGGAGACUUGUUUGCCAGGAUUUAAUACAUAUUGGAUAAUUGGCAGCUGGCUUUCCAUUGCCAGAUUUUCCAUCUCAAAUCUUUUUAUUUCCUUAGGCAACAUUUACUCCUGCUUUUUAAACAAAGCACUCUCAGAGACAGAAAAUCACAGUGCAGACUGACUGCCUGCGUUCAGACAGCUCUCCAAACCUCCUAAAUGCAUUAAACCACCCUUCUAAGUAGCUCUUUGUGAUUUCAGUGGAAAUAAGGAUGCUGCUCUACCAGGAAGCUUUAGUGAAAACAUGAUCAUUCACAAGAGCUGCUCAGUAUUUCUGGGCUGAAAUUAUCCACAACAGUAUUUUUGUAAUUCCAUUUUUAAUCUCUCAUAGUGGGAGGAGGAGAUGUUGUUCCAGCUCACCAUCUAACAUGGUAAUAUAUUUUUCCAGUGUUGAGAAGCAGUUAAUGAAACACAAGAAGCUGAGGCCAACUCUAAAUCUCAGCAUCACAGAAGGAUGCUACUGGUGUGGGACUGGGACAUGGUCAAACCAUUGCUGUCUGCAUAGACCCACAGCCUGUUUUUAACACUGCCAGACUCCUCAGCAGUAGCACAUGUUGGAUUUAUCAGCCCUUAUGAGAUAUGGCACUGCAGAAAUUGGUCUGAGACUGCUGGACUAUUUACUACUGCUAUACCAGAAUAAUUCUUAUGCUUAUUCCCUGUUCUGAAUACAUCCAAAACUGAACCUCCCAGGUGAAGUUGCACUGAUUUAAAUCCAGCCAUAAAUCUGUUGCCCCUUACUGAGCCACUCAUUUCUUUUGUACUAUUUUUGAAGGGCAGGGAACAAGAAUCUAUCGGUGCAGAGAAAAUGAAAGCAGAUUUCCAAACUCCUCAGCAAGAGAGAAAAAUAUUUUCACACAUUUGUCCUUUGUCCAUGCACCAAGCAAAUCUCCAGACAUUUCACACUGCGCCAUCCCCUCAUCUGGCUCUGUUUUCUGUUUGGUUUUCUCUCUCAAUGGUUUCUUGUUUCUCCCCUGUCUUCUCUUAAAUUUUCUCCCCAGUCUCUUGCAUAAGGAUGAGAAGGAGCCUGGUUUACUUAUUCCCUCCUAAGCGGCGAAAGCAAACAAAACAAAGCCAAGUCCCCAUGCAUCCCAGUGAUCAGAAUGUUCCAUCAGUGCACCUGGCUCCGAUGUCUGCCUCACACUCUAUCCUUGGGCUGCUGCAUUCAGAGCUGAUUUUUUUCUCCUUUGGGACAUAGGGAGGAGAAAUAAUUCCCCAGCAUGAUGAUGGCCAGAUUUUGGAAAGCCUUCCUGAGUCAUUUUAAACUUGUUUUAGGCUACCACACUUUUCACAUUAAGGUUUUUUUUUUGGUAAUUCCCUUCCGUGAAUAGGAGUCUGUGUCAUCCAGUGCUCCACUUCUUCACAGCUUCCAUUCUCUCAGCCUUUGGACAAUGAAAAUAAUAGGCUUUUGGUAACCAGCAUGUAGAAAUCUCUACAUUCAUUUUGCUGGUUUAUGGCAAUAGAAAAGAGGUUUUCAUACUGUAAGUGUGCUAAAAUAUUCUGAUUAGCCUGAACAGCGGUAGGAGGAGAUAAGAUAAGCUCUCAAUGUAUUUCAGAAGUAAACAGCAACGUGUUAAAUUGGUUUAACAACUUUUGGAUGAGUUUAAAUGAGGCGUCUUUUUUUUUUUUUUUCUAAAUAACAUACCAAGAAAAAAGUAGCCCUUUGGUUUUUUAAUGACACAUUCACUUAUAUCACUUAAUGUUCCAUCCUACUUCAUCUACAGGCAUUGCUGUGCAAAAUGUUGGCAUGAUUGCAAUCUAAAUUAAAUAACUACUUCGUUAGCCAUUCUGCUGAUAAGCUGAUUUUAAGAAUGCAGAUUUUAAUGAUGAAAUUCUCAGCUGGGCACCACAACAGCAAAGUUUUUUCUGUAGCUCCAAGCGUGGUGACUCAUGACUACAUAUUAGUGACAAUAAUGUUCAGAUCACCCAGAUCGCAGUAGUUUUUCUCAAGGUAGAUCAUCUGGGGAUGUUUGGAUCUUCAAUCCCUGAACCAUUUACUCCAGGGCUUUGGACACUGAAGACAGCAGAUGGAAUGACAUCGCUUAUUUUGUCCACUUCUUCCAGUUAUCAGCCUUUCUUUAGAUUAAUCGUCUCAUUCCAGAGCUAGGCAAGCAUUUCUGCAAAGCUACUGAGAAGGUUGCCUCAGUGGGCCAUAGGGGUGGGCUGGGACUUGGGUUUCACUGUGGGUAUUGCAGAACCAGAGCAGGUUGAACCCCACAUCCAGGCACACACUGCCCACAUCCUCUGGUUUCUGUGGUGUGCAAUGAACAAAACAAACCUCCACAACACAGACACACCGGGUUAGAGAUGCCCCUGCGUGAGGGUGUGUGAGGGAACUGUGUGUGGGUACUGAGAAUUGCCAAGAUCUCUCCUGAGGAGAUACGUGGUCUGAAUAUUUUCCUCAACCAUCGUUUUACAGAGCAAGCCAGAGUUUUUAAGGAAUAUUGAAGUCGGGAGAAAGUAAUCUUGUUAUUUAUUUAUUUACUUAUUUAUUCUUGGGGUAUAGGCUGAUAAGAAAGCAAUUGGAUGAAUAACUGUAUUUUCCCCUGUUUUCCCUUAAAUGUCUGUUAGAAGAUAGGAGUUUUUUUCCAUGCCUUUUAGGAGACUAUUUCACAGAGAUUUUGUCCUGUUUAUGAGCUCAGGCUUUCGCUUCUGUCAUUUCUAUCAUGCUUCCCUCAGCAUCACAUUUUGUUACACACAAAAUAAUUCUUUUCUCUCUGCCUGAACAUAGUAACCGUAGCUCUAGUCAUUACUCAGUGAAGCUAUAUAUACUUAGUUCAUCAUCUUUCCUCAUAAAUCAAUCUUUUCAACCCCGAAAUCAUUUUAGCUGCUCUUUGAAUUGUCUCCAGCUUGUCUGUUUUUGCCUGGUAAUGAUGUGGCCCAGAACUGAAUGCUGCAUUCAGGGUAGGCUGCCACCAAAGUAAUGGGAGCCAGGAUGAUUUCCACUAUCUGCCGUUUGACACAAAACUUAUUGCGAAUAUAUUGCAAGAAAAGGUCUGCUCUUACAAAUGUAGCAGAGCUGGAAACAAACCAGAGGCUGAUUCACCUCAGUUCCCUCCAGCUGUCCUGAGCUGCGCUGAUCCCAGCAGGGCAGAUGGAUGGGGCAUCUCCCUACAGCAAUGCACACAUUUUUCUGCAGGGAUUGGGAGGCCAGGGGGUCCCUGCCUGUUGCAGACUCUGCUUGCACCAGGACAGUGCGUGUGCAAUUAUGUUGGUUGCUCCAAAAGUAAUGCUUCCUAAUUAUUUCUGUGGAAACUACAGCAGUUACAAAGAGCACAAUAACACUAUCUGACAGAGCAAAUUCUCAGCUUAAAAAAACCACAAUUUUUCAACAUAGUCACUUAUGAACCUAUCCCUGUUUUGUUGUCUGCGUUAACAGGGUGUUAUGUCACUGUUUGCAA
Long non-coding RNA from Lagopus muta (rock ptarmigan), 5715 nucleotides. RefSeq lists it as uncharacterized. Lineage: Eukaryota; Metazoa; Chordata; Aves; Galliformes; Phasianidae. The record is from RefSeq and is a predicted model, not a curated record. The transcript has 3 exons.